RNAcentral lists this ribosomal RNA (1301 nucleotides) under Salmonella enterica subsp. enterica serovar Paratyphi B. Its description in RNAcentral is "partial 23S ribosomal RNA". It matches the Rfam family "Bacterial large subunit ribosomal RNA", at positions 37 to 1375 of the family's 2925-position model. Lineage: Bacteria; Pseudomonadati; Pseudomonadota; Gammaproteobacteria; Enterobacterales; Enterobacteriaceae. The record is from RNAcentral.
CAGUCAGAGGCGAUGAAGGGCGUGCUAAUCUGCGAUAAGCGCCGGUAAGGUGAUAUGAACCGUUAUAACCGGCGAUACCCGAAUGGGGAAACCCAGUGUGAUUCGUCACACUAUCAUUAACUGAAUCCAUAGGUUAAUGAGGCGAACCGGGGGAACUGAAACAUCUAAGUACCCCGAGGAAAAGAAAUCAACCGAGAUUCCCCCAGUAGCGGCGAGCGAACGGGGAGGAGCCCAGAGCCUGAAUCAGCAUGUGUGUUAGUGGAAGCGUCUGGAAAGGCGCGCGAUACAGGGUGACAGCCCCGUACACAAAAGCGCAUGUGUUGUGAGCUCGAUGAGUAGGGCGGGACACGUGGUAUCCUGUCUGAAUAUGGGGGGACCAUCCUCCAAGGCUAAAUACUCCUGACUGACCGAUAGUGAACCAGUACCGUGAGGGAAAGGCGAAAAGAACCCCGGCGAGGGGAGUGAAAAAGAACCUGAAACCGUGUACGUACAAGCAGUGGGAGCACAGGUUUACCUGUGUGACUGCGUACCUUUUGUAUAAUGGGUCAGCGACUUAUAUUCUGUAGCAAGGUUAACCGUAUAGGGGAGCCGGAGGGAAACCGAGUCUUAAUUGGGCGUUAAGUUGCAGGGUAUAGACCCGAAACCCGGUGAUCUAGCCAUGGGCAGGUUGAAGGUUGGGUAACACUAACUGGAGGACCGAACCGACUAAUGUUGAAAAAUUAGCGGAUGACCUGUGGCUGGGGGUGAAAGGCCAAUCAAACCGGGAGAUAGCUGGUUCUCCCCGAAAGCUAUUUAGGUAGCGCCUCGUGAAUUCAUCUCCGGGGGUAGAGCACUGUUUCGGCUAGGGGGCCAUCCCGGCUUACCAACCCGAUGCAAACUGCGAAUACCGGAGAAUGUUAUCACGGGAGACACACGGCGGGUGCUAACGUCCGUCGUGAAGAGGGAAACAACCCAGACCGCCAGCUAAGGUCCCAAAGUCAUGGUUAAGUGGGAAACGAUGUGGGAAGGCCCAGACAGCCAGGAUGUUGGCUUAGAAGCAGCCAUCAUUUAAAGAAAGCGUAAUAGCUCACUGGUCGAGUCGGCCUGCGCGGAAGAUGUAACGGGGCUAAACCAUGCACCGAAGCUGCGGCAGCGACGCUUAUGCGUUGUUGGGUAGGGGAGCGUUCUGUAAGCCUGUGAAGGUGUGUCGUGAGGCAUGCUGGAGGUAUCAGAAGUGCGAAUGCUGACAUAAGUAACGAUAAAGCGGGUGAAAAGCCCGCUCGCCGGAAGACCAAGGGUUCCUGUCCAACGUUAAUCGGGGC